This 395-nucleotide long non-coding RNA is filed under the name Equus caballus (horse). Its description in RNAcentral is "lncRNA (ENSECAG00000047280.1)". The record is from RNAcentral. Lineage: Eukaryota; Metazoa; Chordata; Mammalia; Perissodactyla; Equidae.
AGAAAAGUUUCAUCACAUUUUAUGCUGCAUAAAUCGUUCAAUAGCUCUUUUUAUUUUUUUAACUGUGGAGUUAAUGCUGAGUAGAGUUGUAACAGGCAUUUACCAAGGUACUAUCAAAGGACACAAUCAAAAUAUUGUAAGAAGCCUGGGCCCUGGGAUGACAGGCCUCGCGGAAGCGUAUGUUAGAUAUGCCAGCCCCACUGGUAAGCGCUGGGAUUGUGAAAGAAACACGACACACCUAGCCUGGCCUCACACUGAGAACAGACCAACCAACUUACAAAUACAUGAGCCGUGGUGGAUUGCAAUAAAUGAGCAAAAGUGCUACAAAUAAUCUUCCUCCUUUGAUCCAAACCCAUUGGUAGUGCCUCCCACAGACUCCACACUGGUCUUGCGAC